UCCGUAGGUGAACCUGCGGAAGGAUCAUUAUUGAAUUCAAAUCAUCUGUGGCUUCGGUCCGGAUGUGCCAACAGGUAACACUGUUGGUAAUUCUAUCCAUAACACCUGUGAACUGUUGGAUGCUUGCAUCCACUUUUAUACUAAACAUUAUUGUAACAAAUGUAGUCUUAUUAUAACAUAAUAAAACUUUUAACAACGGAUCUCUUGGCUCUCGCAUCGAUGAAGAACGCAGCGAAAUGCGAUAAGUAAUGUGAAUUGCAGAAUUCAGUGAAUCAUCGAAUCUUUGAACGCACCUUGCGCUCCUUGGUAUUCCGAGGAGCAUGCCUGUUUGAGUGUCAUGAAACUCUCAAACCCAAGUUUUGGAUUUCGAUCCAUGCUUGAGUUUGGAUUUGGAUGUUUGCCGGUGAUAAGCCGACUCAUCUUAAAAGUAUUAGCUAGAUCUGUCUCUAUAACUGGUUUGACUUGGCAUAAUAAGUAUUUUGCUGAGGACAUCUUCGGAUGGCCAGGACCUAGACUAUUGUCUGCUAACUAAACCAUCACUUUAAGUGCAUCUUUGGAUGUUACUCAUUGUGUAACUUUGACAUCUGGCCUCAAAUCAGGUAGGACUACCCGCUGAACUUAAGCAUAUCAAUAAGCGGAGGA
RNAcentral lists this ribosomal RNA (642 nucleotides) under Filobasidium chernovii. Its description in RNAcentral is "eukaryotic LSU rRNA". The stretch from base 185 to 338 matches the Rfam family "5.8S ribosomal RNA". Lineage: Eukaryota; Fungi; Basidiomycota; Tremellomycetes; Filobasidiales; Filobasidiaceae. The record is from RNAcentral.